RNAcentral lists this ribosomal RNA (497 nucleotides) under uncultured bacterium. Its description in RNAcentral is "partial 16S ribosomal RNA". It matches the Rfam family "Bacterial small subunit ribosomal RNA", at positions 28 to 507 of the family's 1533-position model. The record is from RNAcentral.
GAUGAACGCUGGCGGCGUGCCUAAUACAUGCAAGUCGAGCGAACGGACGAGAAGCUUGCUCUUCUGAUGUUAGCGGCGGACGGGUGAGUAACACGUGGAUAACCUACCUAUAAGACUGGGAUAACUUCGGGAAACCGGAGCUAAUACCGGAUAAUAUUUUGAACCGCAUGGUUCAAAAGUGAAAGGCGGUUUUGCUGUCACUUAUAGAUGGAUCCGCGCUGCAUUAGCUAGUUGGUAAGGUAACGGCUUACCAAGGCAACGAUGCAUAGCCGACCUGAGAGGGUGAUCGGCCACACUGGAACUGAGACACGGUCCAGACUCCUACGGGAGGCAGCAGUAGGGAAUCUUCCGCAAUGGGCGAAAGCCUGACGGAGCAACGCCGCGUGAGUGAUGAAGGUCUUCGGAUCGUAAAACUCUGUUAUUAGGGAAGAACAUAUGUGUAAGUAACUGUGCACAUCUUGACGGUACCUAAUCAGAAAGCCACGGCUAACUACGUG